GACGAAGGAUGCAAGCGUUAUCCGGAUUCAUUGGGUUUAAAGGGAGCGUAGGUGGUCUUAUAAGUCAGUGGUGAAAUCUCUGGGCUUAACCCAGAAAUUGCCAUUGAUACUGUAGGACUUGAGUAUAGUUGCCGUUGGCGGAAUAUGACAUGUAGUGGUGAAAUACAUAGAGAUGUCAUAGAACACCGAUUGCGAAGGCAGCUAACGAAACUAUAACUGACACUGAGGCUCGAAAGUGCGGGGAUCAGACAGG
RNAcentral lists this ribosomal RNA (253 nucleotides) under uncultured bacterium. RNAcentral describes it as "partial 16S ribosomal RNA". It matches the Rfam family "Bacterial small subunit ribosomal RNA", at positions 524 to 776 of the family's 1533-position model. The record is from RNAcentral.